CGUAGUUAUAAAUAAAACAGAUUUUAUGUAUUGUAGAAAUAAAACUUUACCGAUGGAAUUAUACAAUGUUACUUAAAAGUUGUGUUACCAAUAACUUGCAAAGAAGAUUCCAGCCAAUUCUAUUUGUAUAUGGUACACUGUUCAAGCAGUUUGCUCCUACUUAUCGAAUUUUAAAUAGAUCGAAUGUUAUUCUAUCGUAUAAGAUACUCAGCGAAGGUGUUACCGAGACAGAUGAACCGCCAAUUUUCCUCUUUCAUGGUUUGUUAAGCAAUAAGAAGCAAUGGGAGGGCAUGGGGAAAAUAAUAUUGAAUCUAACAAAAAGAUCAGUAGUUGUUGUGGACUUACGGAAUCAUGGCAACAGUCCUCAUAUGAACAGUCACAGAUAUGAAGAUCUCGCGGCGGAUAUACUGACUCUGUUUGAGAAGCUAGGAGUUGAACAAGCGAGUCUCAUCGGACACAGCAUGGGAGGGAAAGCUGCAUUGUGUUUGGCUUUAACUGCGCCGCUUAAAAUAACAGGUGUGUUAGUAGUGGACAUAUCUCCCGCUUCAAUCACACAAAGCUACAAUGAAGAAUACCCCAAAAUACUAAAUGCUAUGAAAGCGGUUGACUUUAAGAUGCCAAAAAAAGUGAAUCACGCCAAAAGGGAAGCUAAGAAACAACUGAAAGAUAUGAUUACAGACGAUUACCUCCUCAAUACGAUUCUAGAUAAUAUAAAAAUUCGUACGGAUUCGACAAUCGGUUGGGCAGUUAAUAUCGAUGUUCUGUUAAAGCACAUUAAUGCUAUUGCAAGUUUCCCAAGACAACUGAGAAGAAAGCGAUAUUUUGGGCCCACGCUAUUUAUCGGCGGCCAGUUGUCUGAAUUUAUUCCGCCGGACGAUUUACCAGUUAUUCGGGACAUGUUUCCAAAAGCUGUUAUAACCUACAUCCCGAAAACAGGACACAAUGUUCACAUUGACGAUCCAAGAUCGUUUUUAGAAAUUGCGAUCGCUUUUAUCAGGACUCACCAUUAUAAACGUCUAUGGGUUUAGACACAACUCAAAUUUGGCAAAGAUUGGCAAAACCGACCAAAACUUUUGACACUCAAAAUUUAUAACAAAAUCAGGAUUGAAAUCUGGGAACACAAACAAACAUGGAAUGGAUAUCCUAAGCAAAAUCAGUAAAGUGAGACUUCUACAAUACACUGGCUUAAAAACUGUGGGUGCUAAGCAAAUCCGAACUAAAUCAACGCAGCCACUCGAAUUAUCGUACAGAAUUCACGGUCCUAGUCCCAGACCCGGGAGCGUACCGAUCUUCGUGCUUCAUGACUGCCUUGCAAGCAAAAAGAAUUGGGAAACAUUUUGUCAUAAGCUCACCGUUCCUACGAACAUGACGGUGAUCGCUGCGGACGCUCGAAACCAUGGCGACAGUCCACAUCACAGCUCCCAUGGAUACUACGACCAAGCUGCAGAUGUCUCUCAUUUAUUAACUAAAUUUUCUGUAGAAAAAGGUAUUUUUAUUGGCCACGGCAUGGGAGGCAGAACGGCCAUGGUAUUGGCUCUGACUGAGCCAACUAAAGUAGCAAGUAUGGUCGUAGUAGAUAUAUCGCCUGUAUCAACUUCAUGCGGUCUAGCAGACUUCUAUCCUAAGACUAUCGAUGCUCUCUCGACUAUGGACUUCAAAGGAAUGAAUAUAAAUACAGCUGAACAGACCGCUAAAAAUAAAAUGAUUGAAAAUAAUUUAUUCCAAACUGAGAAAGAAUUGGACUACAUGCUAAUGAAUGUUGGCAAAUUGAAAAAUAGAACAUAUGGCUGGAAAUACAAUCUCGGUGCUUUGAGAAAAAAUGUGGAUAAUAUAGUCUCUUUUCCAAAAUUGAAUAAAAAACAGUAUCCUGGCCCUGUGCUGUUCCUGGGAGGCAAACUAUCAUUCGCAAUCCCAUUCGAGGACAUGCCUGGGAUCUUAAAAAUAUUUCCUAGAGCACAAAUACUGUACAUCGAUGGGGCUGGACACAACGCGCAUGUGGAUCAACCACAAACCUUCUAUGACACAGUCAUGCAGUUCUUACAUUACAACUCAUUGAUGCAAACUGCAUAGCCAGACUGUUCACUAUGUCUGUUAUUUUAGUGGAUGAGAAGUAUCUAUAUCAUUUAAAAAAGUCGUAAAACUCAAAUGAUGACUAAGUAACUUCUACUAUGAUAAAUGAAAUAACAAAUAAGUAUUGCUGAAAAGUAAAAAAU
Molecule: RNA transcript, 2213 nt
Organism: Helicoverpa armigera (cotton bollworm)
Lineage: Eukaryota; Metazoa; Arthropoda; Insecta; Lepidoptera; Noctuidae
Gene name: sn-1-specific diacylglycerol lipase ABHD11
Exons: 6
Source: RefSeq, a predicted model, not a curated record